UGAGGAAUCUUGCGCAAUGGGGGAAACCCUGACGCAGCAACGCCGCGUGGGUGAUGAAGGCCUUCGGGUCGUAAAACCCUGUCGGGAGGGAAGAAAUGGCAGCGGGCCAAUACCCCGUUGUCUUGACUGUACCUCCAAAGGAAGCCCCGGCUAACUCCGUGCCAGCAGCCGCGGUAAUACGGAGGGGGCCAGCGUUGUUCGGAAUCAUUGGGCGUAAAGGGCGCGCAGGCGGUUGUGCAAGUCGGUUGUGAAAUCCCCUGGCUCACCCAGGGAACUGCUUCCGAAACUGCACGACUUGAGUCCGGGAGGGGAGAGUGGAAUUCCCAGUGUAGCGGUGGAAUGCGUAGAUAUUGGGAGGAACACCAGUGGCGAAGGCGGCUCUCUGGACCGGUACUGACGCUGAGGCGCGAAAGCUAGGGGAGCAAACAGGAUUAGAUACCCCCGUAGUCC
This 450-nucleotide ribosomal RNA is filed under the name uncultured prokaryote. Its description in RNAcentral is "bacterial SSU rRNA". It matches the Rfam family "Bacterial small subunit ribosomal RNA", at positions 355 to 796 of the family's 1533-position model. The record is from RNAcentral.